This 1045-nucleotide unclassified non-coding RNA is filed under the name Hevea brasiliensis (rubber tree). Lineage: Eukaryota; Viridiplantae; Streptophyta; Magnoliopsida; Malpighiales; Euphorbiaceae. The record is from RNAcentral.
GGGAGAAUGGGUCAGACUGAAGGAAGAUGUGGUUAACUGGAAGUCUAUUGGGCCAGGCAGCAUUGGUAUCGUACAGGGUAUAGGUUAUGAUGGGGAUGAAUGGGAUGGAAGCAUUUAUGUUGGCUUUUGUGGGGAACAAGAAAGAUGGGUGGGACCCGCUUCGCACGUUGAAAGAGUAGGAAGGCUCAUAGUUGGACAGAAGGUUAGGGUAAAACUCUCUGUGAAACAUCCGAGAUUUGGGUGGUCAGGCCACAGUCAUGCAAGUGCUGGAACAAUAUCGGCAAUUGAUGCUGAUGGAAAACUGAGAAUAUAUACUCCUGUAUGUUCGAAAACUUGGAUUCUAGAUCCUUCAGAAGUGGAGCUGGUGGAGGAAGAGGAGCUUCAUAUUGGAGACUGGGUGAGGGUAAGGGCAUCAGUAUCAACACCAACACACCAGUGGGGAGAGGUGAAUCAUUCAAGCAUUGGAGUGGUGCAUCGUAUGGAAGAUGGGGAAUUAUGGGUUGCAUUCUGCUUCACAGAGAGGCUGUGGCUUUGCAAGGCAUGGGAAAUGGAAAGGGUUAGGCCAUUCAAAGUGGGGGACAAAGUGAGAAUUAGAGAAGGGCUUGUAACGCCUCGGUGGGGAUGGGGAAUGGAGACUCAUGCAAGCAAAGGCAGAGUAGUUGGUGUAGAUGCAAAUGGGAAGCUAAGGAUUAAGUUUCAGUGGAGAGAAGGCCGGCCAUGGAUUGGAGAUCCUGCUGAUGUUGUCCUUGAGAGUUAAGCUUUUAAUGGAGGUGCUGGAUGAAUAUCUCCUUGCUUUCUGUGCUUCUUUCAGUUUGCUCCUCAAUCCAUAGGGUCUUAGUCUCUUGCUACUGCCUACUGUUGAGAGAAGUUUGCUUUAGCUGCUGUACGGUCCAGUAUGCUUGAAACUCUACAUAUGACUGCAGCACCCUCCUUAACAAAUCGGAAUUUGUUUAUUGUUAAUAAACAGAAGAAAUACAGAGUCGGAUAAUGGAAACAUGCAGGAAAUUGGCUUGCCUUGCUGAUAAUUAUUGGAGAUGAUGGAACU